AGUAUUAUAAAAAUAAUUUUGUUGUUACGCAAACUUGCCAUAAAAGCGUUAUUUUUUUUUUUAAUGCACGUGUGUGUCACGUUUUCUCUAACUCCGUGCAGACAUGGCGGCGUUUUCGUCGUCGUUGUCGCGUUCAGAUACCUCCGACACUAUAACUAAGCUAGCUGAAGAAUAUUGGGUACCCCACAACAAGUCCUCAUGGAAGGAAUACGACCCGAAGGUAAUUGUGGACGUAUAUCAGAAAGAAAUCAUUGGAUCUGGCUUUGCGAUCCGCAAAGUCAUGCUUCUGGAGUUCAGUCAGUACUUGGAGAACUACUUAUGGUCACACUACGAUCCUCAAAGUGCAUCGACGGCGCACUUGAUGUCUAUCGUUGUCAUGGUAAACGAAAAAUUUCGGGAAAGAGUUCCAGCAUGGCAAACGUUCAUUGCAAGACCCGACCAUUUUCCGGCUUUCUUUCGAAAAGUUAUGGAAAGUUCUCUAGACGAGAACUUCAGGUUCUCUCUGCGAGAACAAACUGCACUACUGGUAUUCCUGAUCAACUGUUUUAACAGCAUGGAAGUGAGCCUGAUACGAGAGCAAAUUCAGCGUUUGGUCUCGCUGUCAGCGUGGAGGACCUUGUUACCCGAGCGGAGAGAGCACGAGUUUAAGCGCUUUCCAAAGUUGAAGAAAUUUUGGGCUUACGUCGAGAAAAACGACAAGAAGCUUGAUGAGCAAACGUACAAGGACCUGUUGUAUGAGCGAGAGUUUCUUUCGCGGCUCAUCGGCCGAUUUUUCAAGUAUUUAGAGUCUGUGCCAUCAACAAAAGAUGUUCCCGAGCUAGAAAAGCCGGCUCUGGAGGUUGUUCACUAUUGUGAACGCUUCCUGGAGUUUAUGAUAGACCUCGAAGCCUUGCUUCCAUCGCGACGGUUUUUCAACACCAUCAUGGACAACUCUCACCUGGUCGUCAAGUGUCGACUGUCAGCACUGUCACAACGGAAAGAAGGCCGCCUCUUUGCGCAGCUGUUAGACAGACUCAAGUUCUACUCGAAGUUUGAAAUCAGUGACCAGACAGGAGAAGAGCUCACGGACCAUGACAUGAUGCAGAUCCAUUAUGACAACAUAACGGCACUGCAGAAGGCAGCGUUUAAAGACUUCCCCGAUCUGCGGCGCUUUGCAUUGUGCAAUGUUGCCAAUGUGGACACGCGAGAAAGGCUGCUGAAACACUUUGGUUCCCUUAAAGCUACAGACCUGCACAGGCUUGCUGCUUCACUAUUUUUGGUGCCUCCACUGAGUUCAGAAAGUAAUGUAUCUCCUUACAGUCAUACCUUUCUUGAAGAACUACUAAUUUCCAGACAUGAGAAGCGCCAAUCACAGUUAGAAAGCCUGAACGAGAUGCCCUUGUAUCCUACAGAAUCGAUAAUAUGGGAUGAGAAUGUUGUUCCAUCAGAGUACUUUUCUGGAGAAGGCUGCCUGGCACUGCCAAAGCUCAAUUUGCAGUUUCUUACGUUGCAUGAUUACUUGCUACGCAACUUUCACCUCUUUCGGCUUGAGUCUACAUAUGAGAUAAGACAGGACAUUGAAGACUCGGUCAGUCGCCUGAAACCCUGGAAAACCGAGGAUGAAAGUGUUAUGUUUGGUGGCUGGGCAAGGAUGGCACAGCCUAUAGUGAAUUUUGCUAUUGUGGAAGUAGGCAAGCCAAAUAUCGGUGAGAAACAGCCUUCCAAGGUUCGUGCAGAUGUCACUGUUCACCUUAAUGUUCGCAGAGAAAUAAAGGCAGAAUGGGAGGCUCUAAGGAAACAUGACGUAUGCUUCCUUAUCACGGUGCGACCUGUCUGUCUACCAGGCACUCCUUACAACUACAAGGAGCCUUUUGUACCACAAGUAGGCCUAACUUAUGUGCGUGGCUGUGAAAUUGAAGGCCUACUUGAUCUGAAUGGAAGGGUCAUUGAAGAAGGACCGGAGCCAAAGCCCUUGUUGCCAGGUGAUACAAGAACUUACCGAAUGUGGAUGGACUGCAAUCAGUACAAGCUUGACAUGGAUCACAAUGUGAAAGGUGGGGAAGACGUUUAUGACACGUUCAACAUACUGAUGAGGAGGAAGCCAAAAGAAAACAACUUUAAGGCAGUUCUGGAAACCAUCAGAGACUUGAUGAACACAGAGUGUGUUGUACCAGAUUGGUUGCAUGACAUCAUACUUGGUUAUGGUGAUCCAGGUGCUGCACACUACUCAAAGAUGAGCAAUCAGAUUCCAGUGUUAAACUUCAAUGACACAUUUCUCAACAUGGACCACCUCCGGACAAGCUUCGAGGACAAAUGUGACAUAUCUGUAGAUGUUAAUGAUCCACGCUUACUUGUACCUCCUUUCAAAGUGACAUUUUGUGACGUUCAACAGGAGCAACAGGCAUCUCUAAAGCAGACCUUGAAAAGCGGGAAGAGUGCCACAGUUACUGAGCAGCCACCAAAGAAAGAAAAAAUCUUGGUCACACCGCACACCACUAUAAGUAGAGGACCAUAUCCAAGUGAACGGACAAAGAAAAAUGCUAUUCCCUUUACUCCAACACAAGUUGAAGCCAUUCGUGCCGGUUUACAGCCAGGCCUUACUAUUAUUGUUGGCCCACCUGGAACAGGAAAGACAGACGUGGCUGUGCAGAUCAUUUCUAAUUUGUACCACAAUUUUCCAGAACAGAGAACACUGUUGGUAACACAUUCAAAUCAAGCACUAAACCAGCUCUUUGAAAAAAUUAUGAUGCUGGACAUUGACGAGAGGCACCUGCUUCGUCUCGGCCAUGGGGAAGAGGCACUCGAAACAGAGAAGGAUUUCAGUCGUUAUGGCAGAGUCAACUAUGUAUUGGCAAAACGGCUAGAGCUGCUUCAAGAAGUCAGCAAACUUCAGGACAGUCUUGGUGUGACUGGUGACGUCUCAUACACUUGUGAGACUGCUGGCUACUUUUAUCUUUAUCAGGUUUUGUCUCGGUGGGAGGAAUUUCUUAGCAAAGUGAAAUCGAGCACAACAGAGCCAUCAACUCGGGACAUUCAAGAACAUUUUCCAUUUACCAAGUUCUUCAGCAAUGCACCACAACCUUUGUUUCAUGGGCAGUCACCUGGAGAUGACAUGGAGAAGGCAGAGAGCUGUUUCCGCUACAUCAAAGACAUUUUUGAUCAGUUAGAAGAAUUUCGAGCAUUUGAGCUACUUCGCAGUGGCCUGGACAGGUCACGGUACCUCCUUGUCAAGGAGGCCAAAGUGAUUGCCAUGACAUGCACCCACGCAGCACUGAAGCGUAGAGAGCUGGUUGACCUGGGCUUUAAGUAUGAUAACAUCCUUAUGGAAGAGUCUGCUCAAAUUUUGGAGAUUGAGACCUUCAUCCCCCUGCUUCUACAGACACCACAGGAUGGAUACAAUCGCCUCAAGCGGUGGAUCAUGAUUGGAGACCAUCAUCAACUGCCUCCUGUGGUAAAGAAUAUGGCCUUCCAAAAGUACAGCAACAUGGAACAGUCACUGUUUACAAGGUUUGUACGCUUGGGUGUGCCCGUGGUCCAGCUUGAUGGUCAAGGUCGAUCAAGGCCAAGCUUGUGCGACCUGUACAAUUGGCGUUACCAGAACCUGGGGAACUUGCCACAUGUUACAGAAUGGCCAGAGUACCGAACUGGCAAUGCAGGUUUCUGCUUCGACUAUCAACUUGUCGAUGUGGGAGACUUCAAUGGAAUAGGAGAAUCAGAACCAAACCCUUACUUUUAUCAGAACUUGGCAGAGGCAGAAUAUGUCGUGGCUGUGUUCAUGUACAUGCGGCUGUUGGGCUACCCUGCUGAACGGAUCUCCAUCUUGACCACGUACAAUGGACAGAAACAUCUCAUACGCGAUGUUGUGCGCCAGCGUUGCCAAGACAAUCCACUCAUUGGCUGUCCCCUGAAGGUAACUACUGUGGACAAGUACCAAGGCCAGCAGAAUGACUAUGUGCUCUUGUCACUGGUGCGGACACGAGCUGUGGGGCACUUGCGAGAUGUACGCCGGCUUGUAGUGGCCAUGUCACGGGCUCGCUUGGGCUUGUAUGUGUUUGCACGCAUAUCACUGUUCCAAGACUGCUUUGAGCUGGGACCUACAUUCAACCUCCUGCUUCAGAGACCUACACAGCUCUGGUUGGCACCUUGGGAGGUCUACCCUACAGGGCGCCCCAACAAUGUACCCCCUCAGGGAGAGCCAUAUGUGAUCACAGGCAUGACGCAGAUGGCCCAGUUUGUCUAUGACUUCUACCAGCAGAGAUUAGAUGCUCUCACAGCCCAGCUAAAGGCACAAAAGGCAGUGUAUGAAAAACCACCCACCACCAUCAAGGAAAGCCCCAAAGAAACUACAAGGGCCGAACAGCCUACCCCUGAAAGCCAGCCCAGUGUGGCGAUGGACACAGACAGCGAACAGCCUUCUAUUGGCCAGCCUGAGGCACCUGCGACUGGAGACAGUGCACCUGACAUUCAGAACCUGAGUAUUGUGAAAGAGGUCUGGGCUUCGUGCCGGCCACUCAAACGUUGAGAUGCAAAAGUUGUCCAGCAAUUCUUUGACGAACCUGGCUGAGUGCACCGACACCUCACCUUGCUGAAGCCACAAAAGGCCCUCGGGAAAUGAUCCUUCGAGCACGCCCCAGAGAUGGAGGGUGACUCAAGUGAUUCUGAAGAAAGGUAGCGAAAAAAAAAUGUAAAACUUCAAUCCAUCAUCUGUGAAUAAGUGAUAACAGCAUCAUGUAUUAUAAAUAAAGCACUGUCACCUGUUGCUUUGGUUCUUAGA
RNA transcript from Dermacentor andersoni, 4753 nucleotides. It is a transcript of the gene named RNA helicase aquarius, with no coding region annotated. NCBI's taxonomy places the organism in Eukaryota, Metazoa, Arthropoda, Arachnida, Ixodida, Ixodidae. The record is from RefSeq and is a predicted model, not a curated record.